GCCAGGUGUUCCCCAUCCUGUAUUUCUGAAUCUGAUUAUACCUGCCUAUGUGCUGAACCUACUGUCCCUACUGAAAUUCCUUUUGUUAAUUUUGCCAGUAGAACUGCAGCUACCCUGAGUUGCAGCCAGCAUGGACAGAGGUCAGGGACUGAUGGAAAUUGGAGCAACCUCUUCAAACACACAGAUCCUCCUCUCUGCAUGGAGAGAAUUUGCAUCACAGCUAAGACUGUCUGAGAGUUUUUCUUGCCAAGGAUGCAGUGGUGGUGCUUCCCAAGUCAGUGAUGAAGCACAUUGUGUGGUUGCUGUGAGGGGAACUUUGCUUUCCCGCCAUGCAAUUGCCGUAGCUGCUCCAAAGAGAGGCACAGACGUUAUUUUCCCACAGCUGUUAAUAAAUAAGAUGUUAACAAUAAAGCAUAAGAUGAAAUGAAGUCAGGAAGCUCUUUUCCAAAAAGACAAGUGAGCAAAUGGAGGCAGCUCCUUUUCCCUGCCGUUCCAUGAUUAAUAGAUUCUGUGAUUCAUCAUCAUAAUAGGCUGGUGAUCAAAAUUGCCCACCUCUGGCAGACACACCAUCUAAUAAACAUUCGCUGCAAAUUUCACUCUGAUAUCCGUUUCCUGCUGUGAUAAUAAAGAGUGACUUGCUUGGAAAACAGCAUCCUUUUACAUUCUGGAUGCCACAUAUAUCAGCCUCCCAUGGGGGCUCCUGCAGUCGUCAAUGUGGUGAAACAGCAAGGCUUGGAAGCGGAGAGAGCAGAACGGCUAGGAUUCCAGAACAAAGAACUGCCAGGCAGCAGGGGCACUGCACGACCCCACUUGGAAAUAGGAGGCAAGGACAAAGGAAAGAAGACCACUGGAAGGGGAGAAAUGUUUGCCGUCCACUUUGUUUAUCUUUAGCUCCCUGCCUCAGCUGUGGCAAUUGCCUACCCAAAGUACGUGCGCAUGGGCUGCUUAGAUUCCGGCUCUUGGAACAUUCGCUGCAUCAGAUGCUAAUCUCCAUUUUAGCGGUGUGAUCUUCUGCCAUUGCCUGGCUUCUCAUCAGGCUUUCCUUUUCUUAGUUAUUCCCUCAUGCAGUUGUAUGCACUUGGCUGAAGCACCUAUUUAAGCUCCUAAGAUCAUUGGCUUCAUAUGAGAAAGCAAUUUACGAUGUUCUUCGGCAAAAUAGGGAGCUCGCUGGACCCUGCAGAACAGAUGGCAGGGAGUGUUUCUCCAGGAUAGCCCUGAAUUCCUAAUAUUGCCUACGGGUCUCACUCUGUUAGGAUCUCAGUGAUUCUGCAGACCAAGAAUUGCAGGAUAAUGGCUUCUGAAAAGCAUGGCAGAGCACCUGCAGGAGGAGUAAUGAGUCCACACCUGCUUCUGCACCAAAGAACAUCCUGAGGCUAAACAUUACAGCAGGUGAAUAACAACGCUGGCAUAAAAAGUGCAAGAGCAAAAGACGACGGCGUAUUGGACAACAGCAAACUAACUUCAGACAAGUUAAUUUUUAAAUGUUCUGACAAACAGGGGUCAUGUAUGCAGAAUCAAGUUCUUGUUAUGGUUUUCUUUUCUUCUUUUCUCUUUUCUUUUCUUUUCUGUAUGGCUAGCUCUUGGUUGCGGUGGCAUUUUCUGCUAAGGUGUCUUGCGCGUUGAUGCCGUGUUCCUUUGAAGGAUGCCUCCUCUAUAUUGUAACUAUAAUAUGCAGUGCUUUUUUUCUAAGAAAACGUUUAGGGUUAUUCUCAUUUUGACUCAGGAAAAUCACCAUUUUAUAGUUCAAAUUUGGAAAAAUAAAUACAGUAAAUGGACAAAAAUACAAAGAUUCACAAAAUGUUUAGAGGUAUGCGUACCCCUGUGUACCCACCCAGGAAAAAAGCAGUGAUAAUAUGUCUUUGGUGCAGCAAACACUCUUUUGUUGUUAUGCAGGUGUAAACUGAGGAUGGAAUAAAUGCACUGAUUUGGUUCACAGUUUCUGGGAAGGGCUCAGACCAGGAAGCAAAACGUUCGACUUAAGCACCUCUUAAAUUACACCCAGCAGCACUGCAGCCACACACUGACCCUCUUUCUCCUUCGAGCACAGACACACCCCUUGUGUUUCUCUCAGCCUGUUUGUGAAUAAUAAAGACACAUAACAAUCACUGUGAAAGUGAACCCAGUUCUCUUCUCCUGUAGUGGAGAUCAAUUUCACUGAAUUAUAUAAGAGUGAAUAGGGAGCUUCACGGCGAUCAGGUUUUAGGGUGGCAUCAAAUAACACUGGGAACUGAUCCACUGAAAACCUUUGGUCCCCUGCCUGCUUGCAAAUCCUUAUUACUCCUGAGGUGAGUGCUGGUAGCCAAACUAAGGCCAUGCUUCAUUUCACGUAUACUUUUCUUGUGUGUUUUUCCCUGUCUUUGCUGGAGUUGCUGUUAAAGUGAACUGAUCUUUUUCUUUCAAGGAGAUCAGUGCUCUUGCACUUUUAAUAGCUGUGGAGACAACAGGAAUUCAUCAAGAGAAGCUUUUUGAAUCCCUUCCUGAUGAAUUGUCCCUGCUCACAAUGCCAUCUUCUAUUAACAAAAUAUGAAACAUGCCCUGCCCCCUUUAAUCUGGUCAAUCUAGUACUAGGGAUGGUCAGUAGGGAGACUGGGGGCUGCAAUGGUGGCUGGUGCUCAUUAGGACUGGUAGGGUGGAAGGCUGGGAGGUCAACAGUAGGGGGAGCCAGAGCAAAUGGCUGGGGAAGCUAGAGUCAAUGACAGGUGGAGCUAACUCAUUCUGCUUUCGUCCCCACCCUCGAGUGCUACCAAGGCAGCACUGAAACUAAGAGGUAUCUCAAACAAGAAUGACUCAAGGACCAUUGAGACAUGGAACUUUACAAAAAAGCAAAUACUUACCUGGUAAGGAAACACAAGGUUGUUGUUGUUUUUUAAAAAAAGCUUGGUGUCUUUGUAAAACAUCUGCAGGGGGUUGAAGGUCCAUGUUUGUUUUCCCAGCAAGUAAGAGUCUCCUUUGGAGUGAUCAGAGUUAAUGCAGUCUCUGGAAUAAUAUGUAUUCCUGAUGGUAAGUCUUCACCACUUGGCCAUGAAGCACUCUGCCCUUAUUAUCAGCUCCCUAUGCAAAAGCAGCUUCAGGACUGCUCCAUUGGGACAGUUCCCCCUGCUGCCCCUUGCCAAUCUUCUUUCUCCCAUG
Molecule: long non-coding RNA, 3129 nt
Organism: Podarcis raffonei (Aeolian wall lizard)
Lineage: Eukaryota; Metazoa; Chordata; Lepidosauria; Squamata; Lacertidae
Exons: 2
Source: RefSeq, a predicted model, not a curated record